This is a long non-coding RNA of Trichomycterus rosablanca, 698 nucleotides long. RefSeq lists it as uncharacterized. The transcript is spliced from 3 exons. The record is from RefSeq and is a predicted model, not a curated record. Lineage: Eukaryota; Metazoa; Chordata; Actinopteri; Siluriformes; Trichomycteridae.
GGAAGCAAGGGGCUGGCAGUGAGCAGAUCAAACUCUAGCCUGAGUUUAUACAGCAGUGCUUCAGCUCCUAGUAGCCCAUUAACUCGUCAGACGCUUUUACGCAGAAGUUUUUCUGGGGAUCGGUGCAUUCGGCCCAGGAGCUCUAUAGCAGCAUUAGGAACCGACCAGUUCUCCACAGUAGGAGAUGAUUUUCCUUCACCCACAGAGGAAGCUGAGAAAGCUCCCACAUGAAUCUACCUGUUGAGUCCACCAUGUAAGAACAACAGAAAGAGGACUGGUCAUAAUGGAAGACAGUUCAGUGGACCCACAGUCUGAGUCCUCUAACUCAUCCCGACUGGGUGUAUAAUAUUGUGUUUCUCCAUGAACAGCUCUCAAAGGUGUAGUGGUAAUUCUGUCCACAUGAUUCAGGAAUUACACAACGUGAUUUCUUAUUACAGCAAGUUGUUGCCAGCUCUUCUCAUUUUAUUUAUUUAUUUUUCAUUUGUUUUUAAAAGAGAUACAGUUUUCACAAGUGUUGGAAUGUGGUGCAUGGUGCUUAGCUGCAUGAUAACUCGGCUCUCCUAAAUAAUGCUUUGUAAUCAGUAAUGUGAAUACUGAGGUCGUUCUGUGUAAGGGUUUAAGCAACAAAAACACUGAUGCCUUUCCUAACACUGAACACACUGAUGAUAGUGAUGCAAACCAAAUGAAUUGGACCUCAU